UUCUGGUUGAUCCUGCCGGAGGUCACUGCUAUCGGUGUCCGAUUAAGCCAUGCGAGUCGAGAGGUGUAAGACCUCGGCAGACUGCUCAGUAACACGUGGAUAACCUGCCCAAGGGUCCGGGAUAACCCCGGGAAACUGGGGAUAAUACCGGAUGGGUCACCAGUGCUGGAAUGCUUGGUGGUCGAAAGGUGACGCCUUUGGAUGGGUCUGCGGCGGAUUAGGUUGACGCCGGUGUAACGUACCGGCGUGCCUGUAAUCCGUACGGGUUGUGGGAGCAAGAGCCCGGAGAUGGAUUCUGAGACACGAAUCCAGGCCCUACGGGGCGCAGCAGGCGCGAAAACUCUACAAUGCAGGCAACUGCGAUAGGGGGACAUCGAGUGGCACCCACCUUGGGUGCCUGUCCCACCGUCUAAAAAACGGUGGUUAGCAAGGGCCGGGCAAGACCGGUGCCAGCCGCCGCGGUAAUACCGGCGGCUCGAGUGGUGGCCGAUAUUAUUGAGUCUAAAGGGUCCGUAGCCGGCUUUGCAAGUCCCCUGGGAAAUCCGGCGGCUUAACCGUUGGGCUUUCAUGGGAUACUACAUUGCUUGGGACUGGGAGAGGUAGGAGGUACUCGGGGGGUAGGGGUGAAAUCCUGUAAUCCUCCGGGGACCACCGGUGGCGAAGGCGUCCUACCAGAACAGGUCCGACGGUGAGGGACGAAAGCUAGGGGCACGAACCGGAUUAGAUACCCGGGUAGUCCUAGCCGUAAACGAUGCCCGCUAGGUGUCACGACGGUCGUGAAUCGUCGUGGUGCCGUAGGGAAGCCGCGAAGCGGGCCACUUGGGAAGUACGGCCGCAAGGCUGAAACUUAAAGGAAUUGGCGGG
RNAcentral lists this ribosomal RNA (864 nucleotides) under uncultured Methanocella sp. RNAcentral describes it as "bacterial SSU rRNA". It matches the Rfam family "Archaeal small subunit ribosomal RNA", at positions 1 to 872 of the family's 1478-position model. The record is from RNAcentral. Lineage: Archaea; Methanobacteriati; Methanobacteriota; Methanomicrobia; Methanocellales; Methanocellaceae.